This 254-nucleotide ribosomal RNA is filed under the name uncultured bacterium. RNAcentral's name for it is "partial 16S ribosomal RNA". It matches the Rfam family "Bacterial small subunit ribosomal RNA", at positions 524 to 776 of the family's 1533-position model. The record is from RNAcentral.
UACGUAGGGUGCGAGCGUUGUCCGGACUUAUUGGGCGUAAAGAGCUCGUAGGCGGUGUGUCGCGUCGGCCGUGAAAACCUGCAGCUUAACUGUGGGCUUGCGGUCGAUACGGGCAUCACUGGAGUUCGGCAGGGGAGACUGGAAUUCCUGGUGUAGCGGUGAAAUGCGCAGAUAUCAGGAGGAACACCGGUGGCGAAGGCGGGUCUCUGGGCCGAUACUGACGCUGAGGAGCGAAAGCGUGGGGAGCGAACAGG